UAUGAAGAACGUAGCGAAAUGCGAUAAGUAAUGUGAAUUGCAGAAUUCAGUGAAUCAUCGAAUCUUUGAACGCACAUUGCGCCCCCUGGUAUUCCGGGGGGCAUGCCUGUUCGAGCGUCAUUUCACCACUCAAGCCUCGCUUGGUAUUGGGCAACGCGGUCCGCCGCGUGCCUCAAAUCGACCGGCUGGGUCUUCUGUCCCCUAAGCGUUGUGGAAACUAUUCGCUAAAGGGUGUUCGGGAGGCUACGCCGUAAAACAACCCCAUUUCUAAGGUUGACCUCGAAUCAGGUAGGGAUACCCGCUGAACUUAAGCAUAUCAAUAAGCGGAGGA
This 331-nucleotide unclassified non-coding RNA is filed under the name soil metagenome. RNAcentral describes it as "partial contains 5.8S ribosomal RNA, internal transcribed spacer 2, and large subunit ribosomal RNA". The stretch from base 2 to 120 matches the Rfam family "5.8S ribosomal RNA", at positions 36 to 154 of the family's 154-position model. The record is from RNAcentral.